Molecule: long non-coding RNA, 405 nt
Organism: Trachemys scripta elegans
Lineage: Eukaryota; Metazoa; Chordata; Testudines; Emydidae
Exons: 3
Source: RefSeq, a predicted model, not a curated record
UUCCUGAGGUGGGAUGAAGCAGAGCAUUGGGGCCUCCCAUAAGGGUCCACAAAGGCCUGCUACACCCCAUCACACAAAAUAGGGAAUUAAACUUAAGUUUUUUUCUGUUGCAGACUAAUGUCCUAACUGCUAGACCAGUCUUCUUCUCAUAAUCAGAAUGUGGGGUGAAGAGGCUUUAAAUCUCUCAGGCCAUGGACGACAAUCUGCUGCCCCAUGCAAAAUAUCAACAUGCUGGCCCCCUCUUCAAAGUCCUCGUCCAACAGAAGUAGCCCAGUUGUCCCCCAUCAUGUUCGGGUCAGAUACUAUGGAAAUGGGAGCCACAGAGACAACUUCCUUCUUGUAAAAUCUGAGAGGACAUUUGAAUCUUACAUCAUAGGAAUUUCCUGUGUCUGCUAUCAAGAAGAG